CCUUCGGUGGUCUAGGGGUUUAUGAUUCAUCGCGCGGUUUACCGAUCGCAUCGAUAAGGUCGGGGGUUCGAAUCCCUCCCAAAUGG
Ustulina deusta is the source of this 86-nucleotide non-coding RNA. Lineage: Eukaryota; Fungi; Ascomycota; Sordariomycetes; Xylariales; Xylariaceae. The record is from the annotation of a GenBank genome assembly.